This 674-nucleotide ribosomal RNA is filed under the name bacterium T460. RNAcentral describes it as "bacterial SSU rRNA". It matches the Rfam family "Bacterial small subunit ribosomal RNA", at positions 36 to 708 of the family's 1533-position model. The record is from RNAcentral.
CUGGUAGUCCUGACUUUGCACCUGCCAUCGGAUGAAGGGAGCUUGCUCCUGGAUUCAGCGGCGGACGGGUGAGUAAUGCCUAGGAAUCUGCCUGGUAGUGGGGGAUAACGUUCCGAAAGGAACGCUAAUACCGCAUACGUCCUACGGGAGAAAGCAGGGGACCUUCGGGCCUUGCGCUAUCAGAUGAGCCUAGGUCGGAUUAGCUAGUUGGUGAGGUAAUGGCUCACCAAGGCGACGAUCCGUAACUGGUCUGAGAGGAUGAUCAGUCACACUGGAACUGAGACACGGUCCAGACUCCUACGGGAGGCAGCAGUGGGGAAUAUUGGACAAUGGGCGAAAGCCUGAUCCAGCCAUGCCGCGUGUGUGAAGAAGGUCUUCGGAUUGUAAAGCACUUUAAGUUGGGAGGAAGGGCUGUAGGCUAAUAUCCUGCGGUUUUGACGUUACCAACAGAAUAAGCACCGGCUAACUUCGUGCCAGCAGCCGCGGUAAUACGAAGGGUGCAAGCGUUAAUCGGAAUUACUGGGCGUAAAGCGCGCGUAGGUGGUUCGUUAAGUUGGAUGUGAAAGCCCCGGGCUCAACCUGGGAACUGCAUCCAAAACUGGCGAGCUAGAGUACGGUAGAGGGUAGUGGAAUUUCCUGUGUAGCGGUGAAAUGCGUAGAUAUAGGAAGGAACA